This 430-nucleotide ribosomal RNA is filed under the name uncultured bacterium. RNAcentral describes it as "partial 16S ribosomal RNA". It matches the Rfam family "Bacterial small subunit ribosomal RNA", at positions 354 to 796 of the family's 1533-position model. The record is from RNAcentral.
GUGGGGAAUAUUGCACAAUGGGCGCAAGCCUGAUGCAGCAACGCCGCGUGAGGGACGACGGCCUUCGGGUUGUAAACCUCUUUUAGCAGGGAAGAAGCGAAAGUGACGGUACCUGCAGAAAAAGCACCGGCUAACUACGUGCCAGCAGCCGCGGUAAUACGUAGGGUGCAAGCGUUGUCCGGAAUUAUUGGGCGUAAAGAGCUCGUAGGCGGUUUGUCGCGUCUGCUGUGAAAACCCGAGGCUCAACCUCGGGCCUGCAGUGGGUACGGGCAGACUAGAGGGCGGUAGGGGAGAUUGGAAUUCCUGGUGUAGCGGUGGAAUGCGCAGAUAUCAGGAGGAACACCGAUGGCGAAGGCAGAUCUCUGGGCCGUAACUGACGCUGAGGAGCGAAAGCGUGGGGAGCGAACAGGAUUAGAUACCCCUGUAGUCC